GAUUGAACGCUGGCGGAAUGCUUUACACAUGCAAGUCGAACGGCAGCACGGGGGCAACCCUGGUGGCGAGUGGCGAACGGGUGAGUAACACAUCGGAACGCGUCCUGUAAUGGGGGAUAACCUGGCGAAAGCCAGGCUAAUACCGCAUACGUCCUGAGGGAGAAAGCGGGGGAUUGGCAACGACCUCGCGUUAUAGGAGUGGCCGAUGUCGGAUUAGCUAGUUGGUGGGGAAAAGGCCUACCAAGGCGACGAUCCGUAGCUGGUCUGAGAGGACGACCAGCCACACUGGGACUGAGACACGGCCCAGACUCCUACGGGAGGCAGCAGUGGGGAAUUUUGGACAAUGGGGGCAACCCUGAUCCAGCCAUUCCGCGUGAGUGAAGAAGGCCUUCGGGUUGUAAAGCUCUUUCGGCCGGGAAGAAAUCGCAUCUCCCAAUACGGGGUGUGGAUGACGGUACCGGAAGAAGAAGCACCGGCUAACUACGUGCCAGCAGCCGCGGUAAUACGUAGGGUGCGAGCGUUAAUCGGAAUUACUGGGCGUAAAGCGUGCGCAGGCGGCUCACUAAGACAGAUGUGAAAUCCCCGGGCUUAACCUGGGAACUGCGUUUGUGACUGGUGGGCUUGAGUGCGGCAGAGGGGGGUGGAAUUCCACGUGUAGCAGUGAAAUGCGUAGAGAUGUGGAGGAACACCAAUGGCGAAGGCAGCCCCCUGGGAUAACACUGACGCUCAUGUACGAAAGCGUGGGAAGCAAACAGGAUUAGAUACCCUGGUAGUCCACGCCCUAAACGAUGUCAACUGGUUGUUGGGGGAGUGAAAUCCCUUAGUAACGAAGCUAACGCGUGAAGUUGACCGCCUGGGGAGUACGGUCGCAAGAUUAAAACUCAAAGGAAUUGACGGGGACCCGCACAAGCGGUGGAUGAUGUGGAUUAAUUCGAUGCAACGCGAAAAACCUUACCUACCCUUGACAUGUCCAGAACCCUGCAGAGAUGCGGGGGUGCCCGAAAGGGAAUUGGAACACAGGUGCUGCAUGGCUGUCGUCAGCUCGUGUCGUGAGAUGUUGGGUUAAGUCCCGCAACGAGCGCAACCCUUAUCAUUAGUUGCUACGCAAGGGCACUCUAAUGAGACUGCCGGUGACAAACCGGAGGAAGGUGGGGAUGACGUCAAGUCCUCAUGGCCCUUAUGGGUAGGGCUUCACACGUCAUACAAUGGUCGGUACAGAGGGUUGCCAAGCCGCGAGGUGGAGCCAAUCCCAGAAAGCCGAUCGUAGUCCGGAUUGUUCUCUGCAACUCGAGAGCAUGAAGUCGGAAUCGCUAGUAAUCGCGGAUCAGCAUGUCGCGGUGAAUACGUUCCCGGGUC
This 1356-nucleotide ribosomal RNA is filed under the name uncultured soil bacterium. Its description in RNAcentral is "16S ribosomal RNA". It matches the Rfam family "Bacterial small subunit ribosomal RNA", at positions 27 to 1380 of the family's 1533-position model. The record is from RNAcentral.